UACGGGGGGGGCAAGCGUUGUUCGGAAUUACUGGGCGUAAAGGGCCAGUAGGCGGCCAACUAAGUCGGAUGUGAAAUCCCCAGGCUUAACCUGGGAACUGCAUCCGAUACUGGAUGGCUUGAAUUCGGGAGAGGGAUGCAGAAUUCCAGGUGUAGCGGUGAAAUGCGCAGAUAUCAGGAGGAACACCGGUGGCGAAGGCGGGUCUCUGGGCAACUACUGACGCUGAGGAGCGAAAGCGUGGGGAGCGAACAGG
Molecule: ribosomal RNA, 253 nt
Filed under: uncultured bacterium
Lineage: Bacteria
Description: partial 16S ribosomal RNA
Rfam family: Bacterial small subunit ribosomal RNA
Source: RNAcentral